This 74-nucleotide transfer RNA is filed under the name bacterium. RNAcentral describes it as "tRNA-Pro". It matches the Rfam family "tRNA". From Rfam's summary of the family: Transfer RNA (tRNA) molecules are approximately 80 nucleotides in length. Their secondary structure includes four short double-helical elements and three loops (D, anti-codon, and T loops). Further hydrogen bonds mediate the characteristic L-shaped molecular structure. tRNAs have two regions of fundamental functional importance: the anti-codon, which is responsible for specific mRNA codon recognition, and the 3' end, to which the tRNAs corresponding amino acid is attached (by aminoacyl-tRNA synthetases). tRNAs cope with the degeneracy of the genetic code in two manners: having more than one tRNA (with a specific anti-codon) for a particular amino acid; and 'wobble' base-pairing, i.e. permitting non-standard base-pairing at the 3rd anti-codon position. RNAcentral also lists the same sequence under 3 other names. The record is from RNAcentral.
CGGGGCGUGGCGCAGUCCGGUAGCGCACCUGCUUUGGGAGCAGGGGGUCCCCAGUUCGAAUCUGGGCGCCCCGA